This 2459-nucleotide ribosomal RNA is filed under the name human gut metagenome. Its description in RNAcentral is "bacterial LSU rRNA". It matches the Rfam family "Bacterial large subunit ribosomal RNA", at positions 487 to 2925 of the family's 2925-position model. The record is from RNAcentral.
AUAGUGAACCAGUACCGUGAGGGAAAGGCGAAAAGAACCCCGGCGAGGGGAGUGAAAAAGAACCUGAAACCGUGUACGUACAAGCAGUGGGAGCACGCUUAGGCGUGUGACUGCGUACCUUUUGUAUAAUGGGUCAGCGACUUAUAUUCUGUAGCAAGGUUAACCGAAUAGGGGAGCCGAAGGGAAACCGAGUCUUAACUGGGCGUUAAGUUGCAGGGUAUAGACCCGAAACCCGGUGAUCUAGCCAUGGGCAGGUUGAAGGUUGGGUAACACUAACUGGAGGACCGAACCGACUAAUGUUGAAAAAUUAGCGGAUGACUUGUGGCUGGGGGUGAAAGGCCAAUCAAACCGGGAGAUAGCUGGUUCUCCCCGAAAGCUAUUUAGGUAGCGCCUCGUGAAUUCAUCUCCGGGGGUAGAGCACUGUUUCGGCAAGGGGGUCAUCCCGACUUACCAACCCGAUGCAAACUGCGAAUACCGGAGAAUGUUAUCACGGGAGACACACGGCGGGUGCUAACGUCCGUCGUGAAGAGGGAAACAACCCAGACCGCCAGCUAAGGUCCCAAAGUCAUGGUUAAGUGGGAAACGAUGUGGGAAGGCCCAGACAGCCAGGAUGUUGGCUUAGAAGCAGCCAUCAUUUAAAGAAAGCGUAAUAGCUCACUGGUCGAGUCGGCCUGCGCGGAAGAUGUAACGGGGCUAAACCAUGCACCGAAGCUGCGGCAGCGACACUAUGUGUUGUUGGGUAGGGGAGCGUUCUGUAAGCCUGUGAAGGUGUGCUGUGAGGCAUGCUGGAGGUAUCAGAAGUGCGAAUGCUGACAUAAGUAACGAUAAAGCGGGUGAAAAGCCCGCUCGCCGGAAGACCAAGGGUUCCUGUCCAACGUUAAUCGGGGCAGGGUGAGUCGACCCCUAAGGCGAGGCCGAAAGGCGUAGUCGAUGGGAAACAGGUUAAUAUUCCUGUACUUGGUGUUACUGCGAAGGGGGGACGGAGAAGGCUAUGUUGGCCGGGCGACGGUUGUCCCGGUUUAAGCGUGUAGGCUGGUUUUCCAGGCAAAUCCGGAAAAUCAAGGCUGAGGCGUGAUGACGAGGCACUACGGUGCUGAAGCAACAAAUGCCCUGCUUCCAGGAAAAGCCUCUAAGCAUCAGGUAACAUCAAAUCGUACCCCAAACCGACACAGGUGGUCAGGUAGAGAAUACCAAGGCGCUUGAGAGAACUCGGGUGAAGGAACUAGGCAAAAUGGUGCCGUAACUUCGGGAGAAGGCACGCUGAUAUGUAGGUGAAGUCCCUCGCGGAUGGAGCUGAAAUCAGUCGAAGAUACCAGCUGGCUGCAACUGUUUAUUAAAAACACAGCACUGUGCAAACACGAAAGUGGACGUAUACGGUGUGACGCCUGCCCGGUGCCGGAAGGUUAAUUGAUGGGGUUAGCCGCAAGGCGAAGCUCUUGAUCGAAGCCCCGGUAAACGGCGGCCGUAACUAUAACGGUCCUAAGGUAGCGAAAUUCCUUGUCGGGUAAGUUCCGACCUGCACGAAUGGCGUAAUGAUGGCCAGGCUGUCUCCACCCGAGACUCAGUGAAAUUGAACUCGCUGUGAAGAUGCAGUGUACCCGCGGCAAGACGGAAAGACCCCGUGAACCUUUACUAUAGCUUGACACUGAACAUUGAGCCUUGAUGUGUAGGAUAGGUGGGAGGCUUAGAAGUGUGGACGCCAGUCUGCAUGGAGCCGACCUUGAAAUACCACCCUUUAAUGUUUGAUGUUCUAACGUUGACCCGUAAUCCGGGUUGCGGACAGUGUCUGGUGGGUAGUUUGACUGGGGCGGUCUCCUCCUAAAGAGUAACGGAGGAGCACGAAGGUUGGCUAAUCCUGGUCGGACAUCAGGAGGUUAGUGCAAUGGCAUAAGCCAGCUUGACUGCGAGCGUGACGGCGCGAGCAGGUGCGAAAGCAGGUCAUAGUGAUCCGGUGGUUCUGAAUGGAAGGGCCAUCGCUCAACGGAUAAAAGGUACUCCGGGGAUAACAGGCUGAUACCGCCCAAGAGUUCAUAUCGACGGCGGUGUUUGGCACCUCGAUGUCGGCUCAUCACAUCCUGGGGCUGAAGUAGGUCCCAAGGGUAUGGCUGUUCGCCAUUUAAAGUGGUACGCGAGCUGGGUUUAGAACGUCGUGAGACAGUUCGGUCCCUAUCUGCCGUGGGCGCUGGAGAACUGAGGGGGGCUGCUCCUAGUACGAGAGGACCGGAGUGGACGCAUCACUGGUGUUCGGGUUGUCAUGCCAAUGGCACUGCCCGGUAGCUAAAUGCGGAAGAGAUAAGUGCUGAAAGCAUCUAAGCACGAAACUUGCCCCGAGAUGAGUUCUCCCUGACUCCUUGAGAGUCCUGAAGGAACGUUGAAGACGACGACGUUGAUAGGCCGGGUGUGUAAGCGCAGCGAUGCGUUGAGCUAACCGGUACUAAUGAACCGUGAGGCUUAACCUU